GAGGGUAUAGCUCAGUUAGUAGAGCACAUGCUUAGCAUGCACAAGGUCCUGGGUUCAAUCUCCAGUACCUCCG
Molecule: transfer RNA, 73 nt
Filed under: Camelus bactrianus (Bactrian camel)
Lineage: Eukaryota; Metazoa; Chordata; Mammalia; Artiodactyla; Camelidae
Also listed under: 2 other names
Rfam family: tRNA
About the family: Transfer RNA (tRNA) molecules are approximately 80 nucleotides in length. Their secondary structure includes four short double-helical elements and three loops (D, anti-codon, and T loops).
Source: Rfam by way of RNAcentral